Molecule: small nucleolar RNA, 87 nt
Organism: Camellia sinensis
Lineage: Eukaryota; Viridiplantae; Streptophyta; Magnoliopsida; Ericales; Theaceae
Product: small nucleolar RNA SNORD25
Source: RefSeq, a predicted model, not a curated record
UGCAACGGUGAUGAGCCAAUACAGACCUGUAAUGACCUACGGACAUGAUCGCAAAUUCAUUAUGAACAUCUAAGGGACUGAGUUGCC